RNAcentral lists this transfer RNA (73 nucleotides) under Flavilitoribacter nigricans DSM 23189 = NBRC 102662. Its description in RNAcentral is "Lewinella nigricans DSM 23189 = NBRC 102662 tRNA-His". It matches the Rfam family "tRNA". Rfam says of the family: Transfer RNA (tRNA) molecules are approximately 80 nucleotides in length. Their secondary structure includes four short double-helical elements and three loops (D, anti-codon, and T loops). Lineage: Bacteria; Pseudomonadati; Bacteroidota; Saprospiria; Saprospirales; Lewinellaceae. The record is from RNAcentral.
GUGGAUCUAGUUUAUCGGGUAAAACACCAGAUUGUGGUUCUAGAGAACAGGGUUCGAGUCCCGGGUUCACCCA